This 105-nucleotide microRNA precursor is filed under the name Cricetulus griseus (Chinese hamster). RNAcentral describes it as "miRNA (ENSCGRG00001004996.1)". The record is from RNAcentral. Lineage: Eukaryota; Metazoa; Chordata; Mammalia; Rodentia; Cricetidae.
GCCUCCUUAUAAACUGUCAGGGGCUGGAGAGAUGGCUCCUCAGUUAGAUCACUGGCUCCUUUUCCAGAGGACCCAGGUUCAAUUCCCUGCUUCCACAAGGCAGCC